CAGUCGCCGCGGUAAUGCGUAGGUGGCAAGCGUUGUCCGGAAUUAUUGGGCGUAAAGGGCUCGCAGGCGGUUUCUUAAGUCUGAUGUGGAAGCCCCCGGCUCAACCGGGGAGGGUCAUUGGAAACUGGAAAACUUGAGUGCAGAAGAGGAGUGUGGAAUUCCACGUGUAGCGGUGAAAUGCGUAGAGAUGUGGAGGAACACCAGUGGUGAAGGCGACUCUCUGGUCUGUAACUGACGCUGAGGAGCGAAAGCGUGGGGAGCAAACAGGAUUAGAUACCCCCGUAGUCCCUGUCUCUUAUAC
This 301-nucleotide ribosomal RNA is filed under the name uncultured bacterium. RNAcentral's name for it is "partial 16S ribosomal RNA". It matches the Rfam family "Bacterial small subunit ribosomal RNA", at positions 509 to 807 of the family's 1533-position model. The record is from RNAcentral.